UAUCGGAAUUACUGGGCGUAAAGCGUGCGCAGGCGGUUUUGUAAGUCUGACGUGAAAUCCCCGGGCUCAACCUGGGAAUUGCGUUGGAGACUGCAAGGCUAGAAUCUGGCAGAGGGGGGUAGAAUUCCACGUGUAGCAGUGAAAUGCGUAGAGAUGUGGAGGAACACCGAUGGCGAAGGCAGCCCCCUGGGUCAAGAUUGACGCUCAUGCACGAAAGCGUGGGGAGCAAACAGGAUUAGAUACCCUGGUAGUCCACGCCCUAAACGAUGUCUACUAGUUGUCGGGUUUUAAUUAACUUGGUAACGCAGCUAACGCGUGAAGUAGACCGCCUGGGGAGUACGGUCGCAAGAUUAAAACUCAAAGGAAUUGACGGGGACCCGCACAAGCGGUGGAUGAUGUGGAUUAAUUCGAUGCAACGCGAAAAACCUUACCUACCCUUGACAUGUACGGAAGGCCGAAGAGAUUUGGCUGUGCUCGAAAGAGAACCGUAACACAGGUGCUGCAUGGCUGUCGUCAGCUCGUGUCGUGAGAUGUUGGGUUAAGUCCCGCAACGAGCGCAACCCUUGUCAUUAGUUGCUACAUUUAGUUGAGCACUCUAAUGAGACUGCCGGUGACAAACCGGAGGAAGGUGGGGAUGACGUCAAGUCCUCAUGGCCCUUAUGGGUAGGGCUUCACACGUCAUACAAUGGUACAUACAGAGGGCCGCCAACCCGCGAGGGGGAGCUAAUCCCAGAAAGUGUAUCGUAGUCCGGAUCGCAGUCUGCAACUCGACUGCGUGAAGUUGGAAUCGCUAGUAAUCGCGGAUCAGCAUGUCGCGGUGAAUACGUUCCCGGGUCUUGUACACACCGCCCGUCACACCAUGGGAGCGGGUUUUACCAGAAGUAGGUAGCUUAACCCGCAAGGAGGGCGCUUACCACGGUAGGAUUCGUGACUGGGGUGAAGUCGUACGGGUAAAACGCGGUAA
Molecule: ribosomal RNA, 964 nt
Filed under: Massilia sp. TS1112T
Lineage: Bacteria; Pseudomonadati; Pseudomonadota; Betaproteobacteria; Burkholderiales; Oxalobacteraceae
Description: bacterial SSU rRNA
Rfam family: Bacterial small subunit ribosomal RNA
Source: RNAcentral